AGUGAACGCUGGCGGUAGGCCUAACACAUGCAAGUCGAACGGCAGCACAGUAAGAGCUUGCUCUUACGGGUGGCGAGUGGCGGACGGGUGAGGCAUACAUCGGAAUCUACUUUUUCGUGGGGGAUAACGUAGGGAAACUUACGCUAAUACCGCAUACGACCUACGGGUGAAAGCAGGGGAUCUUCGGACCUUGCGCGAUUGAAUGAGCCGAUGUCGGAUUAGCUAGUUGGCGGGGUAAAGGCCCAACAAGGCGACGCACCGUAACUGGUCUGAGAGGAUGAGCAGCCACACUGGAACGGAGACACGGUCCAGACUCCUACGGGAGGCAGCAGUGGGGAAUAUUGGACAAUGGGCGCAAGCCUGAUCCAGCCAUACCGCGUGGGUGAAGAAGGCCUUCGGGUUGUAAAGCCCUUUUGUUGGGAAAGAAAAGCAGCAGGUUAAUACCCCGCUGUUCUGACGGUACCCAAAGAAUAAGCACCGGCUAACUUCGUG
This 492-nucleotide ribosomal RNA is filed under the name uncultured bacterium. RNAcentral describes it as "partial 16S ribosomal RNA". It matches the Rfam family "Bacterial small subunit ribosomal RNA", at positions 29 to 507 of the family's 1533-position model. The record is from RNAcentral.